RNAcentral lists this ribosomal RNA (465 nucleotides) under Vreelandella stevensii. RNAcentral describes it as "partial 16S ribosomal RNA". It matches the Rfam family "Bacterial small subunit ribosomal RNA", at positions 338 to 795 of the family's 1533-position model. The record is from RNAcentral. Lineage: Bacteria; Pseudomonadati; Pseudomonadota; Gammaproteobacteria; Oceanospirillales; Halomonadaceae.
CCUACGGGGUGCUGCAGUGGGGAAUAUUGGACAAUGGGGGCAACCCUGAUCCAGCCAUGCCGCGUGUGUGAAGAAGGCCCUCGGGUUGUAAAGCACUUUCAGUGAGGAAGAACGCCUGGUGGUUAAUACCCAUCAGGAAAGACAUCACUCACAGAAGAAGCACCGGCUAACUCCGUGCCAGCAGCCGCGGUAAUACGGAGGGUGCGAGCGUUAAUCGGAAUUACUGGGCGUAAAGCGCGCGUAGGUGGCUUGAUAAGCCGGUUGUGAAAGCCCCGGGCUCAACCUGGGAACGGCAUCCGGAACUGUCAAGCUAGAGUGCAGGAGAGGAAGGUAGAAUUCCCGGUGUAGCGGUGAAAUGCGUAGAGAUCGGGAGGAAUACCAGUGGCGAAGGCGGCCUUCUGGACUGACACUGACACUGAGGUGCGAAAGCGUGGGUAGCAAACAGGAUUAGAUACCCCAGUAGUC